RNAcentral lists this ribosomal RNA (492 nucleotides) under uncultured bacterium. RNAcentral's name for it is "partial 16S ribosomal RNA". It matches the Rfam family "Bacterial small subunit ribosomal RNA", at positions 29 to 507 of the family's 1533-position model. The record is from RNAcentral.
AGUGAACGCUGGCGGUAGGCCUAACACAUGCAAGUCGAACGGCCGCACAGUAAGAGCUUGCUCUUACGGGUGGCGAGUGGCGGACGGGUGAGGAAUACAUCGGAUUCUUCUUUUUCGUGGGUGAUAACGUAGGGAAACUUCCGCUAAUACCGCAUACGACCUACGGGUGAAAGCAGGGGAUCUUCGCACUUUUCGUGAUUGUAUGAGCCGAUGUCGGAUUAGCUAGUUGGCGGGGUAAAGGCCCACCAAGGCGACGAUCCGUAGCUGGUCUGAGAGGAUGAUCAGCCACACUGGAACUGAGACACGGUCCAGACUCCUACGGGAGGCAGCAGUGGGGAAUAUUGGACAAUGGGCGCAAGCCUGAUCCAGCCAUACCGCGUGGGUGAAGAAGGCCUUCGGGUUGUAAAGCCCUUUUGUUGGGAAAGAAAAGCAGCAGGUUAAUACCCCGCUGUUCUGACGGUACCCAAAGAAUAAGCACCGGCUAACUUCGUG